GAAGGAGGAAGCCCUCGCUAUCCUUCCACUGCUAGCCUCGGAGGCCGAAUUGAGAACCCGUUGCCCGCAUCAGGAGCUCGUUGCCGACUCCGCCGCCCACCCCAAAACCGUCCAUCGCCGGCCAGAUCUCUCAAUCCAUCGUCCCGGCCGGCGAGGCGAUUGGGGAAUAAGAGGAACCGCCGGAGCAUCCACUGCAAUAAAAUAAGAUGGGCAACUAUCUGACAAGCACAAUAUCGGCACAGGAGCAUGAUCAGCAUGCCCAUGUUAGACCAGCGAGGAGACUGACAAACGAAAAGGGAAGGCCGAUUGUUAGGCUCGAAGACCUUCCAGAGGAUGUGCUGCAUACGGUUCUAUCGAAAUUACCUGCAAGAGAGGUCGUGCGGUCCAGCGUCUUGUCGAGAAAGUGGAGAUCCGUGUGGACAACCUGCAUCAAGCUGAGCUUCAAUGACGCCGAUGUGUGCAGUGGGCGUGGCGGUGCGAAAUCGGAACAAGGCACCCAGGUUUUCAUCGACCGUGUCGACGCGGUUCUGCGGAGGCACCGAGGCAGGGCUGUUGACCAGUUUGAGAUCAAGUUUAUAUUCGAGAGCAAGCUCGCUGACCAUCUCGAUAACUGGACCAGGUUUGCGAUGACAGCCCAC
Molecule: long non-coding RNA, 638 nt
Organism: Lolium rigidum
Lineage: Eukaryota; Viridiplantae; Streptophyta; Magnoliopsida; Poales; Poaceae
Exons: 3
Source: RefSeq, a predicted model, not a curated record